UGAGGGGAUCGAACCUAUUACAGAAGUAAAGAAUGAAUGCGGAUGUCCUCCACGCAGUGACACUAACAAGGAACAGAAGUUUCGGGAUGAUUUAUAUUUAACUCAUAUGAGCUUUUGCAAAAUUCGCAUUACCUACGGCGAUUUGAUAUGUAGCCUGGCAUUGAAUAAGUUAGAGAUUGUAUAAAAUUCUUCAGUACAAAGAAUAAUUCUGACUGCAGAAAAAAUGGGAAGUACAGUGAUGGACUCCAAGGAGAAGGAUUGUGCAAAGAAAUUCUCUAAGAAAAAGCGAUCCCUGCGCCUUAAAAUGCCAGAUAUGACCACAUUUACAUCUUCUCUUAUGGAUGGAGAGACUGACAGAUCAGAUAAAAACAAAGUGGGAAAGGUUGACACAAGUGACUCAGCUAGUCUAUGUUCAAGGUCUGCUGCUAUCUGCCAACCCCAUACUCCCAUACAUCCUAGCACCAGUCCAGGCUCUCCAAAAAACAUCUUUCACCGUUCAUUAUCUUCACACCAGGAGUCACCUCCCAAGUCUCCCCACCGUCUCAGUUUCAGUGGUAUCUUCCGCUCCUCUUCCAGCUCAGCCCCUACCAGCAUCAAGCUCUUUUCCAGAUCAAGAAAAGGUUCUGGGCUUUCAAGUCCUCCCACCACCCCAACACAGAGUCCAGUUCCACCGGUCUUUGCUAUGGAGACAUGCAGUCAUGUUGAGCAAGUGGAGGAACGAUGCUCCCGCUCACUCUCAUCUACCCCUGACACAGGUCAGCGCUUCAGCCUGAGCCCCUCCACCACCAAACCCCCUAUCGCCUUGUACACCCUUAACUCUACCUCACGCCAGAGCUGCACACUUACUGAAGGCCUGCUGGAAAAACUUGAACUUGACAAUGAAGCUGCUGAAGAGCCAGACAGUGACAUUUACAUGCACUUCAUGAUGUCCCACAAGUGCUAUGACCUCAUCCCUACCAGUUCCAAACUAGUGGUCUUUGACACUACAUUACAGGUAAAGAAAGCCUUUUUUGCCUUGGUUGCCAAUGGAGUUCGAGCUGCCCCAUUAUGGGAAACUAAAACGCAAAGCUUUGUGGGAAUGUUAACAAUCACAGACUUCAUCAUAAUUCUGCACAGAUACUACAAAUCACCACUUGUGCAAAUAUAUGCGCUGGAGGAGCAUAAAAUUGAGACUUGGAGAGAACUUUACUUGCAAGAAACAUUUAAACCCUUAGUCAACAUAUCUCCAAAUGCAAAUAUAUUCAAUGCUGUUUACUCACUGAUAAAAAAUAAGAUUCAUCGUUUGCCAGUGAUCGACCCGGUCACAGGAAAUGCCUUGUAUAUCCUCACGCACAAGAGAAUCCUGAAGUUUCUUCAGCUCUUUGUGUGUGAGAUGCCUAAACCAGCCUUCAUGAAGCAGACCCUGGUGGAGCUGGGCAUUGGCACAUACAGCAACAUUGCCUACAUUCACCCAGAUACGCCCAUUAUUAAAGCGCUGGGCAUGUUUGUGGAGAGGAGAGUAUCUGCCCUGCCAGUUGUGGAUGUUACUGGAAAGGUUGUGGACAUUUACUCCAAAUUUGAUGUCAUUAACCUGGCUGCUGAGAAGACAUACAAUAACCUGGACAUCACAGUGACUCAAGCUCUGCUGCAUCGCUCGCAAUACUUUGAAGGAGUUAUGAAGUGUUACCGGCAUGAGACAUUAGAGACUAUUGUGGACAGGAUCGUCAAAGCUGAGGUGCACAGACUGGUAGUCGUGGAUGAUAAUUCCAGCAUUGAGGGCAUCAUCUCCCUUUCUGACAUUCUGCAGGCGCUGGUACUCACCCCCGCAGGUAUAGACGCUCAGAAUUCCUAAUCCAACCCUCCAUUUCACUUUCAAUCUCUCCUCUCCACUCUUCUUUGGAUCCAUUCUACUUUCUUUGGAUAUCUGCAACUCGAGUGUCUCUUUCAGACCCCCUGAGGCAAGCAGGACACACAAGAUGAGUGAGUGACAAGACAACAUUUUGUAGAUGAAUGAAAAAUCAUCAUCAUAGAUCAUCAUUCCUAGCCAGAUUCAGAGAAGAGGACAACUGUAGGUGUUCUAUAUCCUGAUAUAAGGACUGAAGUUGUGGUGGAUUGAACGAAAGCAUUAGAAUCUGCAGCUGAAGGAACUGAUGUGAUCACAAAGCUCACAAUAUUGGACAUGUUUAUGGUUGGCCAGUGGUGUUAAUGUGUCGCUGUGCAAACUGUGCUGUGCUGAUGGUUGAGAGCCCCUCACGUAAUCAGGCACAGUGAGGAACCAGACACUGAAUCUACUUUUAGUUAAGUGUCUGAACUUGUAAACUAUCUUAACUGAGAAUUGAUUAUAAAGCUUAGCAGAGACUCAUAUGGGUGUGUAGGUUGUGGAAAAGCAGGUUUUAGAUUCUUGAGCGACAGGUAACAAUUGGUUCAAAGGCAUAAAUGGUUUAAACAAAAGAAAACUUUUUCCUCACAAUAUGUAUUUAUUUAUUUUUAAAAUACUUAUAUAAUAUAAUAUAAUAUAAUAUAAUAUAAUAUAAUAUAAUAUAAUAUAAUAUAAUAUACACAAAAAUACAUCCAUGUAUUUUAUACUAUAAAAACUGUGGCUUAUGUGGCCUGCCUUAUUUCUUCCCAAAUGUCAAAAGACCCUGUUUAAGCAUUUGUAAUUAUGAGGACACAAGACAUGUCCUCAUAAACCACUUCAAUAUAGUACAACUAGGUCAUAUCCAUGUCAUUAUACAAUUUUGUCUUAAUAAGCCACAUAAACAAGUACACACGCACACACAGAGAGAGACUUAUUUUUUUUUAUCAUUGUCAGAAUGGUGUGGAAUACAUGUGCACCAGCUGUCUUGUGCACUAGAAUAGUAUGAAUGUAAAAGCUUGCAUUUGCAAAAUUAGCCUACAUUUUGCACCCUAGUGAUAUGCUGAUACUGUCAUAUCCUGACAGUGACAUGAGGUACUGUCAAUGCAAUAUGACAUGUAAUGGGUUAAAAACUGAAAAAUCAUGUAUGUUGUGAAUGCAUUUUUUAUUACUGCCGUCAAUGUAAGUUAGGGCUGUUAGGUCAAGAUAGAAAUAUAUGUACAUUUUCACACAGAAAUAACAAAUGUUUUUAUGUUGUUGAGCUAAAUACAUUUAUAUUGCAAUAA
Non-coding RNA from Danio rerio (zebrafish), 3120 nucleotides. NCBI's taxonomy places the organism in Eukaryota, Metazoa, Chordata, Actinopteri, Cypriniformes, Danionidae. The record is from RefSeq and is a predicted model, not a curated record.